UGUUCUCUGUUACCCUGGUUUUGCCACCUGGGAGGAGUUACACAUAUUGCAGGUUAGUGAGUCCACGCCUCUUCUCUUCUGGGGAAAAGGGUACUUUGGAAACCAAUAUUAUGUGGGAACGUGGCUUGGUUGGUACAGCCUCGGCUUAACAGGAGACAGCUGCCUUCAGCUCUACAGGUGGCCUCAAAUACGGUGGCCUCGAGCCCACAUGGGUCACACCUGGGCUGUCCCUGGGGAAGCCCGCCACAGCGGGUCGCCUGGGCAUUCUUUCCCUGGCAGAGCCGAAGUCACAAUUUUUUUGUAGACUGUAAAGAGCUUUACCCUUCCGAGAUAUGAUCUUGAACCUGUUGGAGCAUUUGGACGCAUUUCUUUUAAGGAAGUUCACCUCCAGAUGUGCUCAGAGGGCCUGGUCUUAGCUGCCACAGAUUUACAAAUUCUUACAAACCCAAGGAUUGAGAACAAUGGACUUUUUGAUGUGUGUUGCAACAAACGCAUAGCCGAGGGCUGUAAAUCGGAGGGAUCACCAGGUCUGCCUACCAGC
This 541-nucleotide long non-coding RNA is filed under the name Cercocebus atys (sooty mangabey). RNAcentral describes it as "lncRNA (ENSCATG00000045563.1)". The record is from RNAcentral. Lineage: Eukaryota; Metazoa; Chordata; Mammalia; Primates; Cercopithecidae.